UGGGGAAUCUUCCGCAAUGGACGAAAGUCUGACGGAGCAACGCCGCGUGAGUGAAGAAGGUUUUCGGAUCGUAAAACUCUGUCAAUUGGGACGAACGUGCUUUAGUUUAAGAGAUGAAAGCAAUGACGGUACCAAAGAAGGAAGCCACGGCUAACUACGUGCCAGCAGCCGCGGUAAUACGUAGGUGGCGAGCGUUGUCCGGAAUUAUUGGGCGUAAAGGGCGUGUAGGCGGGUUGAAAAGUCUUAAGUGUAAAUGCUGUGCUUAACAUAGUAUUGCUUAAGAAACUUUCAGUCUUGAGUUAAGGAGAGGAAAGUGGAAUUCCCAGUGUAGCGGUGAAAUGCGUAGAGAUUGGGAGGAACACCAGUGGCGAAGGCGACUUUCUGGACUUAAACUGACGCUGAGGCGCGAAAGCUAGGGGAGCGAACGGGAUUAGAUACCCCCGUAGUCC
RNAcentral lists this ribosomal RNA (449 nucleotides) under uncultured bacterium. RNAcentral's name for it is "bacterial SSU rRNA". It matches the Rfam family "Bacterial small subunit ribosomal RNA", at positions 355 to 796 of the family's 1533-position model. The record is from RNAcentral.